UACAUUAUUGUUUAAACGGAACACGGCGCGGGACUCGCUUCUAAGCAACUCCUUCAGGAUUCAUUCGGGAGUCGUGAUUCCCGAGUCAGUCAAAAGAGUCGUUUAGAAGUCCAGCAUCCAGCAGCAUGACAAAUAUACAUAGGCUAUGUAAUGUCUUGAGGUUGUGUAUGAGAAAGUGUGUGUUGUUAGAGAAGGAUGAUGUCUGUCUGCUUCAUGUCUGGGCUUGACACCAGCUCGAACCCCAAACCUGCAGCAGUGUUAUGGAGCUCUUUGUGUUUUAUUGGUUCCUCUGCUGCAUUUGUUCAGAUGUUUGAUGGUUCUGGUGUCUCAUGAUGUUCCUCUGCAGGGUGUCUGUCAGUCAGGCGGUUUCUGUCAGUGUUUCUCAUGUUGUUUGUGACUCUCAGCGCUGAACAAGAAGAGAAUGAACUUCUGAAAUACAGCGACUCACAGCAGACCACAGGCCAGAUAUAAAGGAGUGUUUGACCUGGGGUCACGGUUGUGAUGUUAACGCUCGCUGUGGGAACAUCAUCGGCUCGUACUUCUGCCAGUGUCGUCAGGGAUACAGCAGAGACGGACACUCCUGCUACGAUGUGGAUGAAUGCACUCAGGAUAACAGACUCUGUGAACACGACUGCAUGAAUCAGCCAGGGACGUACAUCUGCGUCUGCAGAGCUGGGUACGCAGUCACUUAGUUACUAAAAGUAACUUUUAUUCUCGCUGUAGUAUUGUUGUCGU
Molecule: long non-coding RNA, 735 nt
Organism: Sinocyclocheilus anshuiensis
Lineage: Eukaryota; Metazoa; Chordata; Actinopteri; Cypriniformes; Cyprinidae
Exons: 3
Source: RefSeq, a predicted model, not a curated record